UACGAAGGGGGCUAGCGUUGCUCGGAAUCACUGGGCGUAAAGCGCACGCAGGCGGCUUCUUAAGUCAGGGGUGAAAUCCUGGAGCUCAACUCCAGAACUGCCUUUGAUACUGAGGAGCUCGAGUCCGGAAGAGGUGAGUGGAACUGCGAGUGUAGAGGUGAAAUUCGUAGAUAUUCGCAAGAACACCAGUGGCGAAGGCGGCUCACUGGUCCGGGACUGACGCUGAGGUGCGAAAGCGUGGGGAGCAAACAGG
This 253-nucleotide ribosomal RNA is filed under the name uncultured bacterium. RNAcentral's name for it is "partial 16S ribosomal RNA". It matches the Rfam family "Bacterial small subunit ribosomal RNA", at positions 524 to 776 of the family's 1533-position model. The record is from RNAcentral.